This 308-nucleotide long non-coding RNA is filed under the name Anas platyrhynchos platyrhynchos (common mallard). RNAcentral's name for it is "lncRNA (ENSAPLG00000030167.1)". Lineage: Eukaryota; Metazoa; Chordata; Aves; Anseriformes; Anatidae. The record is from RNAcentral.
GCUUUGUGAACCUGUUGUGCAGGGAGAGCAGCUGUAAUUUAAUGGAUUAAACUUGAGCCUAGGAGAUAACAAACUCCAGUUUGCCACACGAAUCUGCCCCUUGGCAACAAUGGGAGCAAGAACUUAUUUCUCAGAGACUGAGAGCUGGAAUGUUCUUUCUUUAGGGACUUUGCUGAAAGACAAGAAAAUCAAUUGUAUAUAUAGCAACACUUCAUUUCAGGCAUGGGCUGAAGCACAUACUUAACAACAAAUCUGUUUCUAUGAAAUGCAGGUGAGCACAAUAAAAAUAAACAAUAAAUUGUCUUGCA